AUGCCUAGGAAUCUGCCUGGUAGUGGGGGACAACGUUUCGAAAGGAACGCUAAUACCGCAUACGUCCUACGGGAGAAAGCAGGGGACCUUCGGGCCUUGCGCUAUCAGAUGAGCCUAGGUGGGAUUAGCUAGUUGGUGAGGUAAUGGCUCACCAAGGCUACGAUCCGUAACUGGUCUGAGAGGAUGAUCAGUCACACUGGAACUGAGACACGGUCCAGACUCCUACGGGAGGCAGCAGUGGGGAAUAUUGGACAAUGGGCGAAAGCCUGAUCCAGCCAUGCCGCGUGUGUGAAGAAGGUCUUCGGAUUGUAAAGCACUUUAAGUUGGGAGGAAGGGCAGUAAGCUAAUACCCUGCUGUUUUGACGUUACCGACAGAAUAAGCACCGGCUAACUCUGUGCCAGCAGCCGCGGUAAUACAGAGGGUGCAAGCGUUAAUCGGAAUUACUGGGCGUAAAGCGCGCGUAGGUGGUUUGUUAAGUUAGAUGUGAAAGCCCCGGGCUUAACCUGGGAACUGCAUCCAAAACUGGUUGGCUAGAGUCUUGUAGAGGGUGGUGGAAUUUCCUGUGUAGCGGUGAAAUGCGUAGAUAUAGGAAGGAACACCAGUGGCGAAGGCGACCACCUGGACUGAGACUGACACUCAGGUGCGAAAGCGUGGGGAGCAAACAGGAUUAGAUACCCUGGUAGUCCACGCUGUAAACGAUGUCGACAUAGCCGUUGGGA
RNAcentral lists this ribosomal RNA (720 nucleotides) under Pseudomonas sp. RNAcentral's name for it is "bacterial SSU rRNA". It matches the Rfam family "Bacterial small subunit ribosomal RNA", at positions 113 to 828 of the family's 1533-position model. Lineage: Bacteria; Pseudomonadati; Pseudomonadota; Gammaproteobacteria; Pseudomonadales; Pseudomonadaceae. The record is from RNAcentral.